UACGUAGGGGGCUAGCGUUGUCCGGAAUCAUUGGGCGUAAAGAGCGCGUAGGCUGCUCGGUAAGUCCGCUGUAAAAGUCAAAGGCUUAACCUUUGAAUGUCAGUGGAAACUGCCGGGCUAGAGUCCGGAAGAGGCGAGUGGAAUUCCUGGUGUAGCGGUGGAAUGCGCAGAUAUCAGGAGGAACACCGGUGGCGAAGGCGGGUCUCUGGGCAGUAACUGACGCUGAGGAGCGAAAGCGUGGGGAGCGAACAGG
Molecule: ribosomal RNA, 253 nt
Filed under: uncultured bacterium
Lineage: Bacteria
Description: partial 16S ribosomal RNA
Rfam family: Bacterial small subunit ribosomal RNA
Source: RNAcentral